CAAAAUAUAGUUUAAUUUAAAAUUUUAGCUUUGGAAGUUGAUAAUAUAAUAAAUAUUAUUGUUUUGA
This 67-nucleotide transfer RNA is filed under the name Cyphoderus albinus. RNAcentral's name for it is "tRNA-Pro". The record is from RNAcentral. Lineage: Eukaryota; Metazoa; Arthropoda; Collembola; Entomobryomorpha; Paronellidae.